GGCCGUCGAAAUCGGGAACAUCAGCAAAACAAAAUAAGAAAACAAAAAGUAGAGGAAAUGUCAAAUUUUCCUAAUGUGGUGUUAGUGAAUGGUUAUUUGUCGGCAAUCAUGGGCAACUUGUUGCAAAAAUAGUUUCAAAACGUCGCCAUUGCGGUCUUGUAUGCAAUCAAGCGGCUAAAAAGAAACGGGGGGGAGGUAAAAAGAGAGAGUCUGGGGGUAGGAAAUCACAUAUUUCCGCCUCGGCGUUGAGGGUAAAACAAAAGAAAAACUUGGGGAAUUUGGUCACAAACGAGGAGAUAUCGAAAGGCAUGGAAUUUGACCAGAUCGAGAAAUGCCACCGACUGAGUUCAUGAGACCUGCACAUGAAGAGAUAGCGACAGAGUUAAUUAUUGCAUGCCACCCAAGUUGUUUGUUGAUUUUGGUCGGGCUUAAUCAAGGCCCAUUUCACAACAAGUUGAUAGUUCCGUCUGACACUUGGCUGACAAUCGCUGUCACCAAAACAACAACGCUCAAUAAAGGCCCUCGAUAAUAAAGGAAAAUCGAUUGGGGUUUUGUCUGAAACGAUAUAUACGGUGUGUAUUUAAGUUGCAUUCAUUCGCCAGUGCUGCCAAAAGAUCAUUUGUGUAAUAAAACAUAAUUAGGUUACGCUGUUCGCCUCUUUAUGUUUGAACGAGACGGACGGACAAACGAAAGUCGUGUGUGAUUCUAUACUGGCUGACAGAAGAUACCCUCCCACGAUGCCCGGCUUUUCUGGCCAUCACAUGAAACUUUUUCUAUUUUGCUCAUCCCUCGCCCCUGUCUUGAAACUUAAACUGCAUUCAUAUAUUUUAUUUUUUUCUGGACUUAAUAUCUCUGACCAUUCGGGUGGUGGAAUUUAUUGUUGUCUUAGUCUCAUUUGCAUUGAGCAUGUGCCUGUUUUGGAAUAACAGAGUGUUUCAUUUGAGUUCUUUUAAAAUUAUUCAACAUUUUGUUUGUUAUGGAAGACGCGUGGAUUUGACCUUCUAGGGAUGUGUUUAUAGUUUACAGAACAAAACAAGGUUUUAUUUCAGUCUAAUUAUUUCAUUUUGUGUGUGUGAAAUAGUUUGACUCCCGGACGUGCAAGGAACGUGCCUGCGAUACUUCAAAACGACGUCAUUCUUCGUGAAAGAAAUAUUUAAAGACAUGGGAUAGUCUGAAACUUUAUACAACACUGAACUUCUGGGUUCACGUUUGGAGUUCAAAUACACUGUGUUUACCCUUUAUCUUCCUGGCGCGACUGAUCAUCAGCAGAGCAAGAAACACUGGUAACAUCGACAUUGCUGGAACAUUUCAAAUUUCCCUCCUUGGACUGCAAUCUGCUACACAACGCGGACCCUUUUUCUACGUCUACCCUUUUAUCUUGUGCCCUAAAGGAAAACAACAUUUACGUGGAUGUGUAUAUAGACUUUCCGUUUCAGUUGGGCAUUGAAAGAGCUAUUGUAAAUGUUGCUCGGCCAUUGUACCAGCCUGCCAACGCAAAGAAGCCAAAGGAGUCAUUAAGCUAUUCAUCACUGAAAGGCAAAGUCUCUCGACACCUAACAUGCUGCUUCCUGUACGCUGCAAACACUUGUACAGAGUGUAAAGCCGAACUUGGAUUUCAUCUGUAUUUCAUAAGGUGAUUGCACCAGAGCCUUCCGGCAAGGAAAACUAUAAGGAAGUCGUCUUUUGUUGUUGUUGUUCUUCUUCUUCCUGGAUUAUUGACCAGUCCUGGACACCUGUUUUCACAAAUCGAUGGAACAUGUUGCAUUUUUUUUUUCUAGAACUCUUCGAUUUUUUCUGUUUUACCCAAGGCAUGUAUAAAGUAAAGUCUAUUUUUUUCUUGCCAUUUCUCAGCCAUCUGGCUGCAAAGAUUUGAAAGAAAAUCAGUUGGCGAUUCCAUUUUUCUAUAGAUAUUAAAGAUGCGGUAGUCUUUGAACAGAAGCGCUCGUCAUUUCUCUCUACGCCAAAUCAACACAAGAAAAUAAGCCAACGUAGAAUUCUAGGAAUCCAGCAAUUUGCUGAAAUCUACCUUUGAUUUACAGAUGUUCCAUCGUACCAUUUUACGAGGGUCUUAUACGCAAUAAAGCGCGGAGCAACGUCAUUCGGUUGCAGGAUUGCCGGAUGCCCUCCGACCAACAAGAUGGUCAUCAGUAAAUUUUACCUGUUAUUGCGUGUCACUGUGACAUCAGCAAGGCAGGCGACACAAGCGUUGCUAAUCGCUCACAGAGGCCGACGUCUCCUUUUGUCAUUUCAAGUGACCCCCUGUUGUUCUCCCCUUGUUAUGUGGCAAUGACAAGUGCGACUGCCUCCGCCUCCAUCCGAUGAUGGAAUGAAGUGCCCCAUCUUAUUCUUUUAUAGUAAACUUUAAUCUAAUUUUCGGCAUAAAGUUGGUGGGUCUCAGCUUGAAGCAAGUCUUCAUUUUCUGCUCUUGGUUUUCUAUUCAGAGUAAAUGAAAUGUGGGCCAUAAAUAGAAUAAGUUGAGUCUAUAUUCUUUGAAACCUUGAACGCAUAGCGAAUGUCGGAGAAGGAAAAAACAAAACAAUAAACGUAAAGAGAGGAAGGAUGGGCGGUUAUUUUGUGUUUAGGCCGGACUGAAGGUGGGCAACCAAACAACGAGUUCAGCAGCUUUUAUGUCGACUCUGAGAGUGCCGAAUCGAAUGAGAAACAAUACACUGAUAAGAGAAAAGGGAUCCGAAAGGGAUCUACUGAAAACAAAAAGGCAGACGAUGAACAAAAUAUAAAAAAAGGGAAAAGAAAAGAAGAGCAGCUGCAAUUUCAGUGACCCUUUGACGUAUAUCAAACAUUAUUUUCUUUAUGAACCAAAACAUAAUUAUGACUCUUCCUUCUAUUAACUCUUCAAUGUUUUCCCGUCUUGAAAGAAUUGAGCGGUCCGUUCAUUAAGUCUUUUUUUUUUUGUUUUUCUAGUUCACUUUUCAUAGCAAAAGCGCUUUAUUUGAAGUGCCAUAAAGCUGGAGCGUGUUAGUAAUAACUCAACUGAAUGUUACACAAUCGUCAAUCAAGAAAUGGCAAAGGGUUGUAUGUAUUACACAUCCGCCACUACCUGACCUUUUCUUUCAUACACACAACAGCGUGUGUAGCUGUAGCCCUUGAUGAUUUAAACUUUUCAAAAUUUCGUUUUCUUUGAUAAUAAAUUUGCCGUUGUGUCAAACUCUCCCUUUUCUUCCGUUGGCACUAUUUGAA
Daphnia magna is the source of this 3198-nucleotide long non-coding RNA. RefSeq lists it as uncharacterized. Lineage: Eukaryota; Metazoa; Arthropoda; Branchiopoda; Diplostraca; Daphniidae. The record is from RefSeq and is a predicted model, not a curated record. The transcript is spliced from 4 exons.